RNAcentral lists this ribosomal RNA (686 nucleotides) under Lysinibacillus fusiformis. Its description in RNAcentral is "bacterial SSU rRNA". It matches the Rfam family "Bacterial small subunit ribosomal RNA", at positions 47 to 714 of the family's 1533-position model. The record is from RNAcentral. Lineage: Bacteria; Bacillati; Bacillota; Bacilli; Caryophanales; Bacillaceae.
CCUAAUACAUGCAAGUCGAGCGAACAGAGAAGGAGCUUGCUCCUUCGACGUUAGCGGCGGACGGGUGAGUAACACGUGGGCAACCUACCUUAUAGUUUGGGAUAACUCCGGGAAACCGGGGCUAAUACCGAAUAAUCUGUUUCACCUCAUGGUGAAACACUGAAAGACGGUUUCGGCUGUCGCUAUAGGAUGGGCCCGCGGCGCAUUAGCUAGUUGGUGAGGUAACGGCUCACCAAGGCGACGAUGCGUAGCCGACCUGAGAGGGUGAUCGGCCACACUGGGACUGAGACACGGCCCAGACUCCUACGGGAGGCAGCAGUAGGGAAUCUUCCACAAUGGGCGAAAGCCUGAUGGAGCAACGCCGCGUGAGUGAAGAAGGAUUUCGGUUCGUAAAACUCUGUUGUAAGGGAAGAACAAGUACAGUAGUAACUGGCUGUACCUUGACGGUACCUUAUUAGAAAGCCACGGCUAACUACGUGCCAGCAGCCGCGGUAAUACGUAGGUGGCAAGCGUUGUCCGGAAUUAUUGGGCGUAAAGCGCGCGCAGGUGGUUUCUUAAGUCUGAUGUGAAAGCCCACGGCUCAACCGUGGAGGGUCAUUGGAAACUGGGAGACUUGAGUGCAGAAGAGGAUAGUGGAAUUCCAAGUGUAGCGGUGAAAUGCGUAGAGAUUUGGAGGAACACCAGUG